GCAAACUUGGUCAUUUAGAGGAAGUAAAAGUCGUAACAAGGUCUCCGUUGGUGAACCAGCGGAGGGAUCAUUACCGAGUUUACAACUCCCAAACCCAUGUGAACCUUACCUUUUAGUUGCUUCGGCAGGAUCGCCCCAGGCGCCUCGGUGCCCUGGAAUCUGCGCCUGCCGAGGGACCCAAACUCUUGUUUUUUAUGGUAUUCUCUGAUUUAAAUUUAUUAAAUAAAUAAAAACUUUCAACAACGGAUCUCUUGGUUCUGGCAUCGAUGAAGAACGCAGC
RNAcentral lists this unclassified non-coding RNA (280 nucleotides) under uncultured fungus. Its description in RNAcentral is "partial contains small subunit ribosomal RNA, internal transcribed spacer 1, and 5.8S ribosomal RNA". The stretch from base 1 to 73 matches the Rfam family "Eukaryotic small subunit ribosomal RNA", at positions 1759 to 1831 of the family's 1831-position model. The record is from RNAcentral. Lineage: Eukaryota; Fungi.